RNAcentral lists this ribosomal RNA (253 nucleotides) under uncultured bacterium. Its description in RNAcentral is "partial 16S ribosomal RNA". It matches the Rfam family "Bacterial small subunit ribosomal RNA", at positions 524 to 776 of the family's 1533-position model. The record is from RNAcentral.
UACGUAGGGGGCAAGCGUUGUCCGGAUUUAUUGGGCGUAAAGAGCGUGUAGGCGGCCUGAAAGGUCAGCUGUGAAAACUCGAGGCUCAACCUCGAGACGUCGGUUGAAACCAUCUGGCCAGAGUCCGGAAGAGGAGUGUGGAAUUCCCGGUGUAGCGGUGAAAUGCGCAGAUAUCGGGAAGAACACCCGUGGCGAAGGCGGCACUCUGGGACGGUACUGACGCUGAGACGCGAAAGCGUGGGGAGCGAACAGG